This 497-nucleotide ribosomal RNA is filed under the name uncultured bacterium. RNAcentral's name for it is "partial 16S ribosomal RNA". It matches the Rfam family "Bacterial small subunit ribosomal RNA", at positions 28 to 507 of the family's 1533-position model. The record is from RNAcentral.
GAUGAACGCUGGCGGCGUGCCUAAUACAUGCAAGUCGAGCGAACGGACGAGAAGCUUGCUUCUCUGAUGUUAGCGGCGGACGGGUGAGUAACACGUGGAUAACCUACCUAUAAGACUGGGAUAACUUCGGGAAACCGGAGCUAAUACCGGCUAAUAUUUUGCACCGCAUGGUUCAAAAGUGAAAGACGGUCUUGCUGUCACUUAUAGAUGGAUCCGCGCUGCAUUAGCUAGUUGGUAAGGUAACGGCUUACCAAGGCAACGAUGCAUAGCCGACCUGAGAGGGUGGUCGGCCACACUGGAACUGAGACACGGUCCAGACUCCUACGGGAGGCAGCAGUAGGGAAUCUUCCGCAAUGGGCGAAAGCCUGACGGAGCAACGCCGCGUGAGUGAUGAAGGUCUUCGGAUCGUAAAACUCUGUUAUUAGGGAAGAACAUAUGUGUAAGUAACUGUGCACAUCUUGACGGUACCUAAUCAGAAAGCCACGGCUAACUACGUG